CCUACGGGCGGCAGCAGUGAGGAAUAUUGGUCAAUGGACGCAAGUCUGAACCAGCCAUGCCGCGUGCAGGAAGACGGCUCUAUGAGUUGUAAACUGCUUUUGUACGAGGGCAAACGCAGAUUCGCGUACCUGUCUGAAAGUACUGUACGAAUAAGGAUCGGCUAACUCCGUGCCAGCAGCCGCGGUAAUACGGAGGAUUCAAGCGUUAUCCGGAUUUAUUGGGUUUAAAGGGUGCGUAGGCGGUCGGAUAAGUUAGAGGUGAAAUCCCGGGGCUCAACUUCGGAAUUGCCUCUGAUACUGUUCGGCUAGAGAGUAGUUGCGGUAGGCGGAAUGUAUGGUGUAGCGGUGAAAUGCUUAGAGAUCGUACAGAACACCGAUUGCGAAGGCAGCUUACCAAGCUACUUCUGACGUUGAGGCACGAAAGCGUGGGGAGCGAACAGGAUUAGAUACCCCUGUAGUC
Molecule: ribosomal RNA, 460 nt
Filed under: uncultured bacterium
Lineage: Bacteria
Description: partial 16S ribosomal RNA
Rfam family: Bacterial small subunit ribosomal RNA
Source: RNAcentral